This 309-nucleotide ribosomal RNA is filed under the name Haemophilus influenzae. RNAcentral's name for it is "partial 23S ribosomal RNA". It matches the Rfam family "Bacterial large subunit ribosomal RNA", at positions 1731 to 2022 of the family's 2925-position model. Lineage: Bacteria; Pseudomonadati; Pseudomonadota; Gammaproteobacteria; Pasteurellales; Pasteurellaceae. The record is from RNAcentral.
UAACUUCGGGAGAAGGUGCGCCGGCGUAGAUUGUAAGGGCUAGCCCCUGAAGGUUGAACCGGUCGAAGAUACCAGCUGGCUGCAACUGUUUAUUAAAAACACAGCACUCUGCAAACACGAAAGUGGAGGUAUAGGGUGUGAUGCCUGCCCGGUGCUGGAAGGUUAAUUGAUGGUGUCAUCGAAAGAGAAGCACCUGAUCGAAGCCCCAGUAAACGGCGGCCGUAACUAUAACGGUCCUAAGGUAGCGAAAUUCCUUGUCGGGUAAGUUCCGACCUGCACGAAUGGCAUAAUGAUGGCCAGGCUGUCUCC